UACGGAGGGUGCAAGCGUUAUCUGGAUUUACUGGGUUUAAAGGGUGCGUAGAUGGGUCUGUAAGUCAGUGGUGAAAUCUCCGGGCUUAACCCGGAAACUGCCAUUGAUACUAUAGGUCUUGAAUAUCCUGGAGGUGAGCGGAAUAUGUCAUGUAGCGGUGAAAUGCUUAGAUAUGACAUAGAACACCAAUUGCGAAGGCAGCUCACUACGGGAUUAUUGACACUGAGGCACGAAAGCGUGGGGAUCAAACAGG
RNAcentral lists this ribosomal RNA (253 nucleotides) under uncultured bacterium. RNAcentral's name for it is "partial 16S ribosomal RNA". It matches the Rfam family "Bacterial small subunit ribosomal RNA", at positions 524 to 776 of the family's 1533-position model. The record is from RNAcentral.